Long non-coding RNA from Anolis sagrei ordinatus, 4874 nucleotides. RefSeq lists it as uncharacterized. NCBI's taxonomy places the organism in Eukaryota, Metazoa, Chordata, Lepidosauria, Squamata, Anolidae. The record is from RefSeq and is a predicted model, not a curated record.
UUUCGGCACGUGUUUUUCCUGAAUGCGUCCUAUAUUCUCAGCGUAUCAUCCUGGGUAAUAACAGGCUUUGCUCUGUGCUUCUCUUAAGAGCUGGUCAUGGCAAUAAUAACAAGAAGAAAAGGGAAAUGGUUCAACACAUUGUUCAGCGAUCUUUUAGAUUUCACUGAGCAGAUGACAUGAGUGACAGAAAUUGAGAGAGUGCAGCGUAUGCAGGCCUGGCAUACAGCAAGCCUGCAGGAAAGGUAAGCAAAGCUAUCAAAUACAUUUUGUAUAAGCGCUUCUUCGGUUGGAAUGAUUUUUGAAGUUUUUUAGGCCUGCAGGUUAAUGUCCCAGGAACAUGUCGAUGUGGCUGAGAAGCAAGACCAUGAACCUGGAAGAUAGAGACAGACAGGUUCUCUGGGGAGCGGAGAUGAAACUAAACAGGUUAAGAGCUUCACCUGUCACAGAUGAACUACCUCUGCAUUGAAGGCGGAUGUGGAAAAAAGACAGGAUCCACUGGCAAGAACUUCCAAAUGUGCUGGUGUCAUAUCAAUACUGAAAGCCUGUCAACCUCAGGUUGGGGACCCUGGGACUGAAGAAGAAAUUCAUUUAGACAUAUAGCCUGACCAAUUUGAAAGGCUAAACCUGGAGGACCAUUGAAAUUUCUAGAUUCUAAAUGAACUAGAAUCAUGAUCUGGCUAAUGGAAAACAUUUUGAGGAAAGAGAUUCUGUCUCAGUGUUUACCCGUGUUGGCCAACAGGAACACGAUCUAACCUAUGAACAGUUCAGAUAGAUUUCACCAUUGCAUUCUGUCCUGAUUUCUCUGCCCUUUUCAAUGUCUCUCUCCCCCCACCCUCUGCCUAUAUAGUUCUACUGUGUCUGUCUCUGUGGUUUGCAUACAUUUGUUAUAUUUUCCUGCUGAGGGCAUAGCUGUAGCUGAGUGACUUUGUAAAGAAUGGUCAGUCACCCAUCAUCCUAUUUAACAGAAUCACUCAACAGCAUUAAAAUGCUGAAGGCAUUUAGCCGGCUGUCGUGAAAACUGUUGUGGCUAUUGGGAAACCUUUCUGAUCCUGCUAGCCGCAAGCCCUUCAGUGGAUUGUUUACAGAGCCACUUUUGAGGGACAUUUAUUUUACAAGUAAAAUAUGUCUUAAGCUACAGAUUCAAUAAUUAAAUGGAACAUCUUCCUUCCCCUGUCUCCCCAUCCCCACUUCUUACGUAUCUCCCCAUCUUCGAUUUGCUGGCUAUAGGGAAAAAUUAAUCCAAUGUAAAUUUCACAAAAGUUUUGAAAGAUAUGCUUUACUUUGUGUAGUAACCAUGACAAAAGAUGUUGCAAAGAGCUGCAACUUUCUAGAGUCUGUUCAUGUCAUUGGGAUAAACACACUUGCUGUUGUGUCAAAACACACGUAAGUAUACAACUAUGAUUAGGUGGUGAAUAUUUGAUGAAUCACCUGUGCAGGUUUCUUUCUUUCAAAAAUAAUGCUCCAUUACCCUGAUAUUUAUGGUCUUACAAUAUACCUGCUUACAUAAAUACUCAUAAUGUAGCAUAAGAAGGGAUGCUCCACUGUGCGUAACAUAAAAUCAUAUGAUAGAAAGUCAAAGUAUAAAUCAAUAUUGUAUGUAUUGAUCCUAAGAGAAACAGGAGAAUCUAGAAAUAGUUAUGCAUAUUGAAGGGCCACUUAGUGAGAGUUAAAUUCUUAAUGAGUGCUUAUGUUCAAUUGAUUUUAAUGGGUCUUGUGUGCUUAACUUUCUCUGGAUUGUAUUCAUUAUGGGGUAGGAAGUUAAAUUAUUUUAAAUAAUCAUGAGUGAAUCUUAGUCCCUUUGUUUUCUAUUCAAGUUGUAAACAAACAAGAAGCUCAAAAUGGUCACAUGCUCUUCUUCCAGGUUAAUCUGGCAAAAACUAGAGUAAAUACAAAACAUGAAACUGUCCUAUGCUGAAUCAGGUACUGUUCCCAAGAAACAAGUAUUAUUCUUCUGAACCCCAGUGGCUAUCUAUGAUCUUUAGUAGGGUUAUUUCUAGACCGCAACACUUGGAAUUCUCAGAACUUGAGAUUGAAUCUGGGAGCUGUACUGUGCUACUGAGUUACAUGCCAUAUGAGAGAUUUGAAGCCUAGCAGAUGACGAGUUAUUUCAAAUGCAUAUUAGAUGAACUCCAGCCUUAUUCCAUUUACAUUACUGUAUUCUGCUCAUUUCUUCUUACUCUACCAUUGUCUUCUUCUUCUAGACCACCUCUUUCACCCCAACUAAACAUAUUGUGGCAUGCUGCCUAAAGGUCUCAUUCCCCCUGUUCUAGGCUACUCUUCCAUUACCUCCCAUUCACAAUAUCCUUCUUCAUGCCUUACUGCUUCUGUAGGAUCAGCAUCAGUAUAUGGCAGAAUGAAAAAAACCAGAGAGAAUCUAGAAAGGCUAAACAUGCUCUACUAUACUAUGACAUGGCAGCAGCUCAGUCAGCCUACUGGAGCCCCCGGUGGUGCAAUGGGUUAAACCCUGUGCUGGCAGACUACUGCCCAACAGGUCAGCAGUUUGAAUCUGGGAAGAGAGGGUUGAGCUCCCUCUGUCAACUCUAGUUUCUCAUGCAGUGACAUGAGAGAAGCCUCCCACAAGGAUGGUAAAACAUCAAACAUUCGGGUGUCCCCUGGGCAACGUCCUUGCAGAUGGCCAAUUCUCUCACAACAGAAGUGAUUUGCAGUUUCUCAAGUUGCUCCUGACAUGAAAAAAGUCAAUCUACUUAUUAGGUAAAGGUAAAGGUUGUCCCCUGACAUUAAGUCUAGUCGCGUCUGACUCUGAGGGUUGGCGCUCAUCUCCAUUUCUAAGCUGAAGAGCUGGUGUUGUCCGUAGACAUCUCCAAGGUCAUGUGGCUGGCAUGACUGCAUGGAGCACCCUUAACUUCCCACCAGAGCAGUACCUAUUGAUUUACUCACAUUUACAUGUUUUCAAGCUGCUAGGUUAGCAGAAGCUGGGGCUGACAGCAGAAGCUCACGCCGCUGACUCGAACCUGCAACCUAUUGGUCAACAAGCUCAGCAGCUCAGCGGUUUAACCUACUGCACCACCGGGGGCUCCCUAAUGUACUUAUUACCCAGUGCAUUACAAGUGGAUUUUGGCUGCUGGCUUCCAUGUCAGGUGAAUGGUGAAUGCACGCUGGGUUCCAGACUUUAAAAGACUUAUUCAAGUUGAUAAAUAUAUUUUUAUGGGGGGCAAUAGGGCUCGGAACAUUGGAUAAUAUCUUUAAAACAUAUAUUAAAUCCCAGAGGUGAUUCACUCUAGCCUUGAUCUGGAAGCCCCUGGCCAUCACUGAUUUCCCUCCCUGAAAAUGUGCAUAUUCACAUCAUUUCAUAUAGAGAUAAUUUCCUUCCUUUCUUACGGAAGGUCCCAAUAAAAAUCAAACACUGGCACAUGUAAUAAUGAGUGAAAUCACAACAACCUAGAGAUUGACCCUCAUGUCUCUGGAGAAGUUGGGCUUCAUAGUGUAACCAAAUUGAAUUCCUGAGAUGCUUAGCACACAGCUGCACAGUAAAUAUAAGUCCAAGUGAAUAAUUAUGCUCAGUGCAAAUGUGUGUAAUAUGGGAAGGGAUAAAAGUUAUUUGUAUGUGAGCGGGUGGUCUUGAGGGACAAUGCAUACCAGGGGCAGCCUAGAAUGAUGUUAAUGGUUCAAGAUUUCAUCCAUUCAUGUUUGCUGAGGACAAGGGAAAAAUAAUAAAAAAGUAAAAAUGAAUUUGCCAAGUGACAGAAGUAUGAAUGGAAUUCUGAAUGAUUUGAAAAAUAAAAAAAAUAGAAAGUCAAGGAAGUUAAUUAAAGAUUCUGGACCAUUGAAGAGCUAGCAAGCAGGGAUAACAGUGAGUGAAAACCUCAAUUAAAACUUGCUAAAUCAGUAAAUAAGGGGUGAAAGAUUGAUAACAUGUCUCAUACCUCAAUAUCUACCAUGGAGAAAAAGUCUUAGCAUUCUGAUAGAACAGGAGUUCCCAAAUGUUGCUCUUCCAGAUGUUUUAGACUUCAGUUCCCAGAAUUCCUGACAAUUGGCCAAGCUAGCUGGGGCUUCUUGUAGUGCAAAAUACCUGUUAUAGAUGGAGCCCUAUCCAGAACAAAGACUCUUGAUCUUCUAAAAGUAUGAGUUAUUCAUGAAAGUAUAAUUAAAUAUGUGCUUCUUUCAGCCACAAUAAAACAAACAGAAAUAAGUGUAUGUUUGAAGUUUAUUUUGUGUAUAAAAGCACUGAAAUAUUUGAGAAGGACAAGGAAGGCUGAUUCAGCCAUCUUGGCUUGAUUUUCUGUAGUCCUCCAUGACUGUAUACAUCAUCUUGAGAUGUGUUGUUUUUUAACAGGAAUGUCUCAUCCCUAGGAAAUUUGAGAGCUAUGACAUGUGCUCCAUAGAGAUAUGGUUGGCUCAGGCACUGCAGCGUUUUCAGCACUAUAACAAAACUUUUGUGUGGCUAACUUGAGUUAUGAUGGUUUUUAUUUUGUACAGCUAAUUGUUUAUGUUUUUUUGUACUCUCCCACCCCUGAAAUGUAUAAUAAACAUUGAGUCAACAUAAAUGAUAACUCAUGCAAAGAACUAUUACCAGUGGAGAAGAGGUUGAUCCAGAAAUAUGCUGAGCCUUUGAUUCUAAGUUGGUAAUGUUUGGAAAUGCUGACUUAGCUUCUAGCAUCUAGGGAAGUCAUAGGUUUUUCUUUUUCUGGUAAAUUUGCUAAAUAAUUGUGACUAGUUUUUUGGGUUAUGAACAUCAUUUUACACUAUAUUUUAAAGGCUGUGCAGCCUCUACGUGUCUGACUCUUUGAAGUAUUUUUAGAUAUAAAUGUACUAGCUGGUGUACCUGCAUGAUGUGUUUUAGAUUUUCUCACAAUUGGUUUUCAGUUCAUGUCUUUUGGCUAGUGAAAAAGUCUCUUAGCCUAGUGCAUCAAUAU